CGCGAGUCUACCUUAGACAUGGAGCAGAGCCUGUGAGCCUGUCACUCACCCCUCAGAGCCUCUAACUUACACACCUCCUGUUGCAAACUAAGAUGUCCCUUCUCCAGGCGACACACCUGUUCAGGAAAUCUAGCUUCAGGGAUACAGGGAGACAGACACGAAGGGGGAAAGGCUCGCUUCUCCGCUUCCGCUUCAGUGCUUCAGACGAGUCAGGGCAACUUCAUGGAUUCACAAGCAUGUCCACUUCUGAAGGAGGAGGAUGGACAGCUGACAGACACUGGACGGUGGGGUGGGGAAAGCCCUGCGGUGUGUCCGAGUCCAACAACUCAGCUUCUAGACCUGCCUGACCUGCAUCAGGACGUCUGAUCCUCUCUGAACCUUGCCAGCCUUGCUGUCCUUGCAAGGAUAUCUUAAGAAUCAGUUGAGAGCAUGGCUAUGAUAAGACCGAAUAAAUUAAAAACUGAUGAGAGUAGCCGCACUAUUAUCAUGGUCCUACUGCUCUGUGUCACUCACCAAGCUGCCCUGGAAGUAGUACA
Long non-coding RNA from Phyllostomus hastatus (greater spear-nosed bat), 536 nucleotides. RefSeq lists it as uncharacterized. The transcript is spliced from 3 exons. The record is from RefSeq and is a predicted model, not a curated record. Lineage: Eukaryota; Metazoa; Chordata; Mammalia; Chiroptera; Phyllostomidae.